RNAcentral lists this ribosomal RNA (394 nucleotides) under uncultured Anaeromyxobacter sp. Its description in RNAcentral is "bacterial SSU rRNA". It matches the Rfam family "Bacterial small subunit ribosomal RNA", at positions 67 to 447 of the family's 1533-position model. The record is from RNAcentral. Lineage: Bacteria; Pseudomonadati; Myxococcota; Myxococcia; Myxococcales; Anaeromyxobacteraceae.
CGAGAAAGCCCGCAAGGGUGAGUAAAGCGGCGCACGGGUGCGUAACACGUGGGUAAUCUGCCCUGGAGUCCGGAAUAACUCGCCGAAAGGCGUGCUAAUGCCGGAUGAGACCACGGGGGCUUCGGCCUCCGCGGAAAAAGGUGGCCUCUGUACACAAGCUAUCACUCCAGGAUGAGCCCGCGGCCCAUCAGCUCGUUGGCGGGGUAAAGGCCCACCAAGGCUACGACGGGUAGCUGGUCUGAGAGGACGAUCAGCCACACUGGAACUGAGACACGGUCCAGACUCCUACGGGAGGCAGCAGUGGGGAAUCUUGCGCAAUGGGCGAAAGCCUGACGCAGCAACGCCGCGUGUGUGAUGAAGGUCUUCGGAUCGUAAAGCACUGUCGCGAGGGACG